GCGGGCGUGGCGAAAUUGGUAGACGCACUAGAUUUAGGUUCUAGCGAUCAUCAUGAGAGUUCGAGUCUCUCCGCCUGUA
Molecule: transfer RNA, 79 nt
Filed under: Karlodinium veneficum
Lineage: Eukaryota; Dinophyceae; Gymnodiniales; Kareniaceae
Description: tRNA-Leu
Rfam family: tRNA
About the family: Transfer RNA (tRNA) molecules are approximately 80 nucleotides in length. Their secondary structure includes four short double-helical elements and three loops (D, anti-codon, and T loops).
Source: RNAcentral